Ochotona princeps (American pika) is the source of this 137-nucleotide small nucleolar RNA. Its record names the gene SNORA70. It matches the Rfam family "Small nucleolar RNA SNORA70". From Rfam's summary of the family: snoRNA U70 seems to be exclusive to mammals and is a member of the H/ACA class of snoRNA which contain H (ANANNA) and ACA box motifs. H/ACA box snoRNAs are involved in the conversion of uridines to pseudouridines (5-ribosyluracil) a constituent of structural RNAs (transfer, ribosomal, small nuclear, and small nucleolar). The record is from Ensembl. Lineage: Eukaryota; Metazoa; Chordata; Mammalia; Lagomorpha; Ochotonidae.
CUGCAGCCAAUUAUGUCAACCACACUCAGACCCUAUGUGGUGUAGCCUGAUGUGCAGUGGCUGCUGACAGCGGCCUGUCAGUACUGUAUGCAGCUUGGUGCUCGUGUGAGCUACCCUGAGAGCUGUCGGAGAAACGC